AAUCAACGCUGGCGGCGUGCCUAACACAUGCAAGUCGAACGCGAAAGCCCCGCAAGGGGCAAGUAGAGUGGCAAACGGGUGAGUAACACGUGGGUGACCUGCCUUCGAGUGGGGGAUAACGUCCCGAAAGGGACGCUAAUACCGCAUGACAUCCUGCCUUUGGAAAGGCGGAGAUCAAAGCCGGGGAUCGCAAGACCUGGCGCUUGAAGAGGGGCCCGCGCCUGAUUAGCUAGUUGGUGGGGAACGGCCUACCAAGGCGACGAUCAGUAUCCGGCCUGAGAGGGCGGACGGGACACACUGGGAACUGAGACACGGCCCAGACUCCUACGGGAGGCAGCAGUGGGGAAUUGUUCGCAAUGGCGCAAGCCUGACGACGCAACGCCGCGUGGAGGACGAAGAUC
RNAcentral lists this ribosomal RNA (401 nucleotides) under uncultured bacterium. Its description in RNAcentral is "bacterial SSU rRNA". It matches the Rfam family "Bacterial small subunit ribosomal RNA", at positions 29 to 416 of the family's 1533-position model. The record is from RNAcentral.